Pelobates cultripes (western spadefoot toad) is the source of this 671-nucleotide non-coding RNA. The record is from the annotation of a GenBank genome assembly. Lineage: Eukaryota; Metazoa; Chordata; Amphibia; Anura; Pelobatidae.
GUACACUAUAAUUGUUUUUAACAAAAAUAAAGUUUCUAGUUUCUCUGUUAUACUAAGGAAACAUAUUAUAGUAUUCUCCUCUACUGCUUGCUAUUGGUGUAAUAUGAACAUGCUAUCUACAUAAUGUGUGUGUGUGUGUGUAACAAGUUCUCCUUCAUGUUGGACUACAUGCAUACCACCCAACAUUUGGUGGUAUGAAAUUGGCAUGAUUUUAACCCUGGGGUGCAUUGUACUGCUGCAAAGUGAGCCCCUGCCAGCUUGCACUGAUCCUGUGGGGCUUAGAGGGUCUACUAUUGCGUUUGCGUAUGGUGAGUUUUUUUUUUAAAUUUUAUUUAUAUGUUACUCCUGUCACAUUUAUUACUAAGACCAGGACUGGGGACCACAGGAUUAUUCUGAUGGGCUUUUAACCUACUUAUACUUUGUAAGUGUAACCAUUAAAGCACGCAUCUUUACUGUUUUCAGUGUUGCACUAUGUUUCUUUCAAUUUUAUUCACAUGAAUCUUUGGAACCUCAAUACUAUUGAAUCUGGUGGAACCUACAGACUAUUGAUGAGCCUGAAUUUUCUGUGACUUUGUGAGUGUAACCUUGAAUUCUGUGUUUUUUGUAAAUGUAGAGACUUACCUGUCAGUCUCUUCAUUUACCUGUCAGAGCACUCUGAUUGGUUGGCUUGG